UACGGAAGGCAGCAGUGGGGAAUAUUGGACAAUGGGCGAAAGCCUGAUCCAGCCAUGCCGCAUGAGUGAAGAAGGCCUUCGGGUUGUAAAGCUCUUUUAGUGAGAAAGAUAAUGACGGUACUCACAGAAGAAGUCCUGGCUAACUCCGUGCCAGCAGCCGCGGUAAUACGGAGAGGGCUAGCGUUAUUCGGAAUUAUUGGACGUAAAGAGCGCGUAGGCUGAUUAGUAAGUUAAAAGUGAAAUCCCAAAGCUUAACUUUGGAAUUGCUUUUUAAAACUGCUAGUCUAGAGAUUGAAAGAGGAUAGAGGAAUUCCUAGUGUAGAGGUGAAAUUCGUAAAUAUUAGGAGGAACACCAGUGGCGAAGGCGUCUAUCUGGUUCAAAUCUGACGCUGAGGCGCGAAGGCGUGGGGAGCAAACAGGGAUUAGAUACC
Molecule: ribosomal RNA, 431 nt
Filed under: uncultured bacterium
Lineage: Bacteria
Description: bacterial SSU rRNA
Rfam family: Bacterial small subunit ribosomal RNA
Source: RNAcentral